AAGCUUCCAUUGCCAUUUACCGGGCCCAGGAAGUGAACUACUUAAGAGGCUGUUGCUCAAUUUUACCAGUUGCGGCUAUUUUGACAGCGCAGGAGAAAUACCAAAGCCGAAUGAUGAGUCGGAGAAAUUAGAAAUUGAACAAGUAGAGCUUAGUUGAUUGGGGUUGUAACAGGGAUUGCAACUCAGAAGCAACGGCUGCUGGACCAAACCAAGAAGCGAUGCAUGACGACUGUACUCGUCAAGUGAAAAAGUUGGCCGAUUACAAGGAGUCAAUAAACGAAACCAGAAACGAAAAUAUGGUCUUAAGAAAAGAAAGAAAAUGCGUCUUGGAUGACUUGCGUUUUAUCCAGAUAAGGGCGGCGGCGAAGGAGGACAAUACAACUUGGGUUUGGUCGGUUUGAUCUUGAUUGUGUUGGUGGCUAUGACUUGUCACUGAAUAGCAUAGUGCAUUCCUUCCUCCUAAUCUGGUGAUCCCGAUCCGUAGGAAACUACUUAUUAGUGUAUUGAUCAUGAACUUGGAGGAACAUCAAGUGUUCGAGAUUUAAGGUCAAAGAAAGCUAUUCGGAAAAUAUGUGCGCCUUAAUCUCCGGUGAUCUUUUCCUACCUACCACAGAAGAAAGAGACGUACAUAUUGGCUGCUCUUCUUGGCAGGCACCUUUUGCUGGAGCUUCUUUUUCUGUAUUAUCAGCAUAUCUCGAAAGCCCGGCAACUGGGAUUGUGUCACAUUCCUGAUUUUCUUUCUCUUGAUGUAGUCAUAAUUAC
Long non-coding RNA from Coffea eugenioides, 762 nucleotides. RefSeq lists it as uncharacterized. The record is from RefSeq and is a predicted model, not a curated record. The transcript has 3 exons. Lineage: Eukaryota; Viridiplantae; Streptophyta; Magnoliopsida; Gentianales; Rubiaceae.